AGGGGUGGAAGACAGCAUCCUGAACCGAAAGAUACUAAAACCCACCACCCUUCCCAAAAGAAGUUUCUGAGUUCAGUCGCUACCUAGAUAUUGGUGUCAUUUCUUCAUCACAUGUGCCAUAGUUAGAAGCAGUCACAGUUGUGUCCACUGCCACUCUAGGUGUGUAACAUUUGGCAGGAAGAGAAUGCAUUUGCUCGAACCUGACUCCCAGUUGCCAGCUAACUUAGAUAAAGUCCUCCUCUCAGGGCCAUCUCUCCACUGAUGACCUUUGUGGCAGUCCGGAUCUGCUUUCCUGCUCUGAGAACUUCCAGUUAAAUCCCCCUUAUCACUGGCAAAACUUGACCCCCAGCACACAAAGCAUGUUAUGGUACAGGGGGAAUGGAACUUUCUGACUUUAAAGUUAAUUUGGCUUUGCUUACCUUUGAAAUGAGCAUUUGUGUUUUGAAACUGUUUAUGAGAAGUUCUCUGAGCACUGACCUGCAAACACAGAUACCAAGAAAUCCAGGGCCAGCGUGUCUGAAUAACUAGGAUAAAGACAAUUGAGUUGAAUAAUAAUAAAAUCUGGCACCUAUCCCUUGAGCUUUUAAAUUCUCCAAUUGCAAUUCUUCCUUGUCCUGGGCCGUCGGUCCAGGGAAAAGAGCACAGGCUUUUGAAACGAACGUUUGUCAUAAAGAAAUGAUUUCAGCCUCCACCUGCUGUUUACCACCUUUGAGAACUUAGGUAGGCUGUUUCGGUCAUGAAACUGAGCUUUGUCUCUGGCAGAUGCAAAAAGGAACAACCUUUACUGCACAGUGCUUUUGAGAGACUAGAUGCAGUAAUAAGAGUUUUCUAAGUGUUUACAAGAAUUUUAUUUUUUUCCAAAUUUUAAAGAGAAAGAAACUGAAGUCCAGAAAGGUUAAGUAACUUGUCCAAGGUACAGGUAACCCAGCUGGUAAAUAUCAUAUUCUAGAAUUUAGAUCAGAAUAGGUGAUUGAGAAAUGCCUGUGAAAAUCAGAUUAACAUCAUGUUACUAUGACCGUACCUCCCUCAGAAAUUUGCCUUUUGGGCUAAAAGAACCAUGGUGCUCCUUGAUAUCUUCACAAACUGUUUCGGGCUCAAUUUUUUUCUAUAGGACACUUUGGAGAUACAAGGAAGAAUGAGUUCCUGUCGCCUUUGUUCUGUGAUCCUUAUAAUACAAAAGUGACAGCAGAAUUAAUCCAGAACUAUAGAUAUUAAUUCAGGAAAGCAUCAGUAAACGUAGUCCUUAGGAUAGUGUUUUGCAAAUAGUAUGUGUUCAACAAAUAUAUGUUGAUCUGGUGAUUAGAAGAAUUCACCAAUAGUUUGGUGGAUGGCCAGGAAGUCCUGGAAAAAGAUACAUUUCAUAUUGCACUCUCUUAUUCUGGGGGAAAAUAGCCAAGCAUGGAUUUUUGACAGCAGAGCGAGAGUCAAUAGGACAAUCUAAGAACUACAAAUCAAAACGGUGUUUUGGCUAACAGGGCAGGUUCUAGACACUUGCCAUGGUACCAGAUGAUGUUUAUUCCAACCAGAAGGUGGUUAUAAGGCAUCUCUUGAAUUAAGUGUUUCUUAUUACUUGGAUAUUAGGUCAGAUUCUGCUAGAAUAAAGUCAUGAUCACUCUGCUUUCCAAAUGUAUUUGUUUUCACUUUCAAAAGCACACCUACAUCUUUAUACACUGCCUUUUUGACUUGAUCCCAGAACCAUAAGAAAUAAAAAUAUCCAUGAUCUUUAAGGGGUAGAGCUGGAGGCUCAUACAUCUUGCCUACACCUGGCAAAGUUACUGACACGUAAAGAGUCCGUAACAAAUGACAAUUUAUAGAUAGCAUGGAGUGUUUACCGUGUAGCAGACACCGCUCCGAGCACUCAUAUACAUUGGCACAUUUCUUAAGAGUUCAGCAUAAUUGUGAUGGGUGCGUCACUCGCUAACAGAGUGACCCUGGGCAGGUUACUGAAGCAUUUUGUCCUCAGUUUCAUCAUCUAUAAUGUGGGAGUCAUAACUGAGACAAUUCCAUAAGGCUGUGGUGCAGAUCAUCUGAGUUAGUAUCUAUCAUGCCUUUGGAGCAGUGCUGCAUACGCGACUGCUCAGUAAGCACCAGCUUGUGCUUGCAUUUAUCCUAAGAUCACCUCUCAAGUCAUUGUGGGAAUCAAGAUUUGAACUCAGCCUGCCUGGCUCAAGAACCUGUGACUCCAAUCACUAUUUAUUUUGAAUGAGUUACCAAGCUGCAGAGGCUGGUGGUGCCACUGCACGCAGGUAGAAGCCAACAUCUCCAUGGGAGCAGAUUAUUGGUAAAGGAUUGUAUUCUUCAACCCAUGCAGAGAAAAAUGAAUGGACCGAGCAGAACAAUAAUAAUAAGUGACAUUUGAAGAGCACUUUCCGGUUGACAAAGCCCUUUCACAUCCAUUGUCUUGCUUGACCAUUGGAGCAACUCUGUGAUGUAGGUUGUUAUUUCCGGUUUUGAAGAUGAGGUAACCUGAGCACAGGGAUGGCACGUGACUUGUCCACAUUCGAAGGGUGGGCAAAUCCUGGAGCCCAGGCUUACACUGGAAUCCCCUGAUUCCAGAUCCCAGGUCCCUUCCUUAAGAAAAUAUUUGACCCAGUACACUGAUGGAACUUUGUCCCUGGCCUCAGAAAAAUUAGCUCAUGGUAUUUUCCAGUGUAGAGUUUGAUCUACUUAGAAAAGUGAGUUUGAAUCUUCCUGAAGGCAGAGGCAUGGAUAGGAUGACCCAGACCUCAACUGAAGCCAGGGAGCUUUGUGAUUCCCUUCCAGGAUUUUAUGAAAGAAAUAAAAUCAUUCAUUUAAAAUGCUUGCUGCCAGAAAUGUCAGAGAAGCUGUAAAGGGCCAUUUAUUUGGGACCUUCCAACCAUGUGUUAUGGUAGAAAAUAUGAGAGAAGGAAUAGGCCAUUAGGAAAAUUAUUUUAUUCACUUCAUGUGCUAUUGUCUUGUUCGGAUAAUAUUUUAUUUGAAAACUUGUGUUCAUAGCACUCUUCCACAUAAAACCCUGCUCUCUGGGUCCUCCCCACCUCAUGCUGCUUUCUCUCACAUGUAUAGAGAUUGUUUUUCGUUUUGAACCCAAUUGCUUCCUCUUUGAUCCCAUAGAAAAUCACCCUUCUGGGCGUGUGGUGUAAUGACUUCCACGGCAAUGGGCUGAAGUUGCAGGUAACCCAUUAUGUGAGUACCAGUACGCCAGGCUGCGCAGAGAGACCGGAGCUGGGAGUUCUUUUAAAAACUGCUGUCCUUGAUAAUAGCAGGACAGAGGUAGAAAAUUACUGGCAUUAUAAAUUGCUUUUCCGAUAAAGGUUCGACUCUGUGUUUUAAAAAGCUGUGCCACACAGAGAAAAAUCUCUGCAUUUUUAAUUGUAGAUAAUUUUGUGUAAGAAAAACUUCCCCAGGAAAAUGGUCUCAUGAAAUAUGCUUUGUUUGACUUUGGCAAAGCUCCAUGUCAUUCUAAAUGAGUGCAUAAAAACAGACACAAACAAUAUUUGCUAUUACCUAAAAGCGUAAGAGAUAAUUUACAUCAAAAGCAAAGGAGGAGACUGAGAAUUGGAGGUUGGCCCCUGCAGAGCUCCCCCUUUCACACUCAUAUAGGAAAGAGCAGGAAUAAAGGAAGUGUGGUGUACUGCCACCCAGCGGUGAGUCAGGGAAGAUGGAAGACUACCAUGGCCCCUCGGUGUCCAGAGGAGCCCCACCUAGAUGAACAAAAAAAAAAACCAGGGCAAGAAGAAGCAAGACCCAGUCUUGCUAAAGGAGAAGACAUGUUCCAAAGUUUAUGCUUUACUCAAAGAAUGCCAUCUUAGAAUUUGUUUAUGCUUAUCUCAGGCAUAAUUCUAACAUGCAUAACCUUCAAACCACACGAGCACAUUGGAAUCAAGUAGAAUGGAGAGAAGAAAGGCAGCCACUUGUGUAUAGACUUCUCUGUGUAAGCAGGAAGGUGCUCCCCGUAGGGGACAAUGGUGGACUCCUUAGAGCUGCGAUCCAAGUGUCUCUGUGCCUUUUGCUAGCUGGGAAACUUGGUCAAGUCAUAUGACCUCACUGUACUUCAUUUUCCUCAUCUGAAAAAUUAGCAUGAUCAUUACACCACCUACCUCAUAGAAGUGUUUUGGAGGAUUAAAGGAAAAAUUCGUAGAAAUAGGGCAGUUCCUGAUGCUUAGAAGGCAUUCAGUGUCAGGCAUGAGCAUUUUAGAAAUGUAGAAGCUCAAAUCUAUUAAGAACUAAAUCCUGGUUGUUAUUUAAAUUAUUCAUUUGUUCAUUCAAUUCACAUUUAUUAAGCAUAUAUAUGAGCCAGGCAACGAAUGGCCACUAUGUAAAUAAAUGUAAAUAAGCUACAACCAUUCCCAUCUAGGAACUCAGACUGCAAGCAAAAUGCACAGCAGUGGUGGGAAGUGCUGGAGGGGCAUUUCUGUGGGAACACAGACCCUUUCCCUGGAGAAGUCAGGAUGGCUUCCUAGGAGGGACAUUCAAGGGGGUGCAUGGGAAGUGAGAAGCAGGGAGGGCAUUCCAGAGGAGGAUGCGACAUGUUUAAACAAAGACUCAGAUGGAGGGAGAGCUGGUGAUUUUGCUCCUCAGGUGUAAAGGUGGGUGAGAGGGGAGUUGAGGCUGAAGAGGUGGGUGGGGCCCACGCUGGAAGGGCCUUGCCUGUGCAGCUACAUCCUUAGUUUGCUCGAACCUAACUUCUAAGUGCUAAGAAGUUCAAACUUCUUUAGUACUAAAUAUAUUUAUUUUUCCCCACGCAAAAUCUCAUGGAAACUGCAGCAUAUGAAAAAAAUUAAAGCAGCAUUUCAUUAAGAGACAUUUAGUUUGUAAGUUCAAAUUUAUGACAGUUACAGAAUGAAUCAAUAGGAUUAUAAAGAGGUAUUUAUUAAUGAAGCAAUUUGGGGAUAUGUGUGACAAACUCAACUUCAUAUAUUAUAUAAUUUUAAUUGUAUACUUUUAAGAAUAUUCUGAUUCACUCUGAGAACUAGUUGCAAAAAGUAGCCUCUUUUAAAAAUAACUCAGUUUGCAAUCUCUAGAUACCCUUAACUGACCUGGAAGUUUAAAAGGGCAGCAGUAAAGCAUUUUUCCUUUAAAUUUAAAUUAUUAUCUAUUAGCAUCUUACAUUGCUUAUCAUAAGUAUCAAAGUCAGAUGAAAAGCACCAUAAUCUUAAAACCAUUACAUGUCAUUAUUGAUAUGUGGCCUGGUUCCUGUCAAUGUGUCAUAGUCUGGCUGUUAGCUAGGAUGAGACCGUGUACUGAGAUAUUACACUCGAGCCUUACCCAGCCUGUGAGUGAGGAAGGUGUCUUAGUCUCUUCAUGCUGCUUUGACAAAAUACCUUGAGAUUGGGUAAUUUUCACAGUUUUGGAGCCUCAGAAGUCCAAGAUCAACGCGCCAGCAGGUUCAGUGUCUGGUGAGGGCUCUGUCACUGCAUCUAAGAUGAUGCCUUGUUACUGUGUCCUCUGGAGGGAACAAAUACUGUGUCCUCACAUGGUGGAAGGUGAAAGGGUUU
Molecule: long non-coding RNA, 5477 nt
Organism: Sapajus apella (tufted capuchin)
Lineage: Eukaryota; Metazoa; Chordata; Mammalia; Primates; Cebidae
Exons: 2
Source: RefSeq, a predicted model, not a curated record